Molecule: long non-coding RNA, 328 nt
Filed under: Sorghum bicolor (sorghum)
Lineage: Eukaryota; Viridiplantae; Streptophyta; Magnoliopsida; Poales; Poaceae
Description: long non-coding RNA (SBIC_LNC002604)
Source: RNAcentral
CGCGGGGGGGGUGUUAGCUGGGCUGCGGCUGCGGCCUGGCUCCAGGGAGUUUCCCCCUUUCUCUCUUUUUUUUUCUUUUCUGUUUUCUUUUUCCAAGACAUUUUCCAAAUAUAAUUUUGUGCACAAACAAAUAAAAUAAAAACAGAAACAACACACAAAAACACUAUGCUCCAGCAUGAAUGAAAUAUUCAAGUUUCUAAACUUAUAAUAAAUUUUAUUUUCCACCAAAACUGCUUAUUUUCUAGAUUAAAUGCUCACAAAAAAAUACUUAAAUAAAUCAAAUUAAAUCCUAUUAUUUGAAAAUCAAAUUUGGGGUGUUACAGGCGGA